AUUGAACGCUGGCGGCAGGCCUAACACAUGCAAGUCGAGCGGAUGAAGGGAGCUUGCUCCUGGAUUCAGCGGCGGACGGGUGAGUAAUGCCUAGGAAUCUGCCUGGUAGUGGGGGAUAACGUCCGGAAAUGGGCGCUAAUACCGCAUACGUCCUGAGGGAGAAAGUGGGGGAUCUUCGGACCUCACGCUAUCAGAUGAGCCUACGUCGGAUUAGCUAGUUGGUGGGGUAAAGGCCUACCAAGGAGACGAUCCGUAACUGGUCUGGGAGGAUGAUCAGUCACACUGGAACUGGGACACGGUCCAGACUCCUACGGGAGACAGCAGUGGGGAAUAUUGGACAAUGGGAGAAAGCCUGAUACAACCAUGCCGCGUGUGUGAAGAAGGUCUUCGGAUUGUAAAGCACUUUAAGUUGGGAGGAAGAGCAGUAAGUUAAUACCUUGCUGUAUUGACGUUACCAACAGAAUAAGCACCGGCUGACUUCGUG
RNAcentral lists this ribosomal RNA (484 nucleotides) under uncultured bacterium. Its description in RNAcentral is "partial 16S ribosomal RNA". It matches the Rfam family "Bacterial small subunit ribosomal RNA", at positions 30 to 507 of the family's 1533-position model. The record is from RNAcentral.